UUCACGUCUCUGCUUCUGCAGCUUCUAAAACAGGCUACAGCCAGGCCAGUCUGACCCCCUACACCCCAGACCCAGCAGACCAGGCAGGUGACGGCCAUCAAACCUGCCGCGCGCCUUCUCCAUCUACCCGGUCUCCUCCGCCGUUCAGCCGUAGCCGCCGCCUCUGUGGUCCCCUCGUACUCCCAGAGCCCUACCUACUCCACCAACGCAGUCACGUACUCUGGCACCUCGUAUUCUGGCUAUGAAGCAGCGGUGUACUCUGCUGCCUCUACCUACUACCAGCAGCAGCAGCAGCAGCAGAAACAGGCUGUGCGGCAGUCGCUGCUUCAGCAGGCUGGACAGGAAGCUCCUUCACCAAGAAAACUCCCUUCCAGAGCAAGCAGCUGAAACCCAAGCAGCCCCCCAAACCACCACAGAUCCACUACUGUGACGUCUGCAAGAUCAGCUGUGCUGGACCCCAGACCUACAAGGAACACCUGGAGGGUCAGAAGCACAAGAAGAAAGAGGGUGCCCUGAAGGCCUCCCAGAGCAGCAGCAGCAGCAGUAGUGGAGGAAGCUCAGCCCGGGGGACUCAGAACCAGCUACGCUGUGAGCUCUGUGACGUCUCUUGCACCGGGGCAGAUGCAUACGCUGCACACAUCAGAGGGCCAAGCACCAGA
Molecule: non-coding RNA, 659 nt
Organism: Salvelinus sp. IW2-2015
Lineage: Eukaryota; Metazoa; Chordata; Actinopteri; Salmoniformes; Salmonidae
Source: RefSeq, a predicted model, not a curated record